UCCAAGACCACUUACAGCUACUUUCCUUAUCUCUGAGGAGUUGGCAGCACUACAGUACACACUUGUGCUUUUUUUGGCUGUACAACAGCAUUGGCGAGAAUGUUUGUCUCUCAGCAUCCUCCGGCUUCAGCGUGACCUUCAGCGCUCGCUCGGCUCAAAAACGAGCGGGGUCACUUUUGUAGUCUUUUAGCGCUUGGAGGGGCAAUGAAAUAUUCAAACAGCUAUCCUCCACAGAAGCGUCAUGGUGUCAGUCCAGAGUCCAUCGGCCUACUGGACGCCACGUGCGCACACACAAUGCGAACUGCGGUUAUUUCCAGCAGCUGCUGGAUUCAAACAUAUCAGGACCAGACUGGGGAAUUGGAGCAGACUCGGGCACGGUACAGGUCCGAGAACAGGUAGAAAUAAACUAUGUAUAAAAGCAGCGCUAAGCUACAGCCUGGGGCUAAGCUACACGGGCUACGAUGUUAGCACCCCCCCAACC
This is a long non-coding RNA of Doryrhamphus excisus (bluestripe pipefish), 481 nucleotides long. RefSeq lists it as uncharacterized. The record is from RefSeq and is a predicted model, not a curated record. Lineage: Eukaryota; Metazoa; Chordata; Actinopteri; Syngnathiformes; Syngnathidae.